This 146-nucleotide microRNA precursor is filed under the name Gossypium hirsutum (cotton). RNAcentral's name for it is "MIR7502 microRNA precursor family". It matches the Rfam family "MIR7502 microRNA precursor family". Lineage: Eukaryota; Viridiplantae; Streptophyta; Magnoliopsida; Malvales; Malvaceae. The record is from Rfam by way of RNAcentral.
UACUAAUUUUUUUUAUCUAUUUUUACUGUUAAAAACUAGAAUGAUUGACGGAAUAAUCGAACAGUGACAUGUGACAUGCCACGUGUAUGUCGUGCUGAUGUACAAGGAUCAUUUUUUAACAGUAAAAGUAUAUAAAAAUUUUAACA